GACGAACGCUGGCGGCGUGCUUAACACAUGCAAGUCGAACGGAAAGGCCCUGCUUUUGUGGGGUGCUCGAGUGGCGAACGGGUGAGUAACACGUGAGUAACCUGCCCUUGACUUUGGGAUAACUUCAGGAAACUGGGGCUAAUACCGGAUAGGAGCUCCUGCUGCAUGGUGGGGGUUGGAAAGUUUCGGCGGUUGGGGAUGGACUCGCGGCUUAUCAGCUUGUUGGUGGGGUAGUGGCUUACCAAGGAUUUGACGGGUAGCCGGCCUGAGAGGGUGACCGGCCACAUUGGGACGGAGAUACGGCCCAGACUCAUACGGGAGGCAGCAGUGGGGAAUAUUGCACAAUGGGCGGAAGCCUGAUGCAGAAACGCCGCGUGCGGGAUGACGGCCUUCGGGUUGUAAACCGCUUUCGCCUGUGACGAAGCGUGAGUGACGGUAAUGGGUAAAGAAGCACCGGCUAACUACGU
RNAcentral lists this ribosomal RNA (467 nucleotides) under uncultured bacterium. RNAcentral's name for it is "partial 16S ribosomal RNA". It matches the Rfam family "Bacterial small subunit ribosomal RNA", at positions 28 to 506 of the family's 1533-position model. The record is from RNAcentral.